RNAcentral lists this small RNA (844 nucleotides) under Pan troglodytes (chimpanzee). Its description in RNAcentral is "retained intron". The record is from RNAcentral. Lineage: Eukaryota; Metazoa; Chordata; Mammalia; Primates; Hominidae.
GCACCGCUGCCUUCUGCCCCCACCUUUUGUUUUGAGAUCUUGGUAAUGAAAGUGUAGCUAGUUGCUUAUUAAUUUCACUCUUAAAUAUUUUUCACAUUCACAGAUCGGGUGCUACCAAGGUUUUGCUUUUGCAUGGAAAUGUCUACUGCACAGUUGCACCACUGAGAAGGACAGCAGAAAGAUGAAGGUCUUAGAAUCAUUGAUUGGAAUGAUCCAGAAAUUCCCUUAUGAUGACCCUACUUAUGAUAAACUCCAUGAAGACUUAGACAAGAUCAGAGGAAAAUUUAAACAGUUUUGUUCGUUACUCAACGUUCAGCCAGACUUUAAAAUUAGUGCAGAAGGUUCCGGACUUUCAUUUUGAGGAGGAUGGAUGAACAGAGACCGAACGUCGAGAAACAGAUGUGUGUGUGACGUGUUUAGAAAUGCGGUGAAGGGCCAGACGGUGCUGGGAAGGCAGUUGUUCAGUGGGAGGGUGAGGGUUCCGGUUCGGCCGUGGGAGGGCUUCCUUCCCUGGGGUUUUCUGCCCGUGUCACCUUGGUGCCCGCCUUGGGGCCUCUCCACACACGCCCUUUGUUGGGCUGAAGCCAUCCCUGGCAGAGCCCUCGUGCAUUGACUUGACGGCCUCUCCAGCAGCACAGGCCUAGCUGGUUCUGGGUUGGGGUUGGCUCUGGAUAGGGUCAGUCACCAGGCCUGGACUGAAGGCAGUUGUUUUUAUUAUUAUUAUUAUUUUUUUUUGCAAUGAGAGAGAUGGUUGGCCCUGAAUGAGGCUCAUGGGAGGUUUGGACGGGUGCUGUGCCGCAUGUCGAGGCCGAUUGUGUGCCAGGCGCUGCGGGACGUGCCUCCC